This 814-nucleotide ribosomal RNA is filed under the name uncultured Pedobacter sp. RNAcentral's name for it is "bacterial SSU rRNA". It matches the Rfam family "Bacterial small subunit ribosomal RNA", at positions 89 to 904 of the family's 1533-position model. Lineage: Bacteria; Pseudomonadati; Bacteroidota; Sphingobacteriia; Sphingobacteriales; Sphingobacteriaceae. The record is from RNAcentral.
AUGAGACCGGCGUACGGGUGCGUAACGCGUAUGCAACCUACCCUUGUCAGGGGGAUAGCCCGAAGAAAUUCGGAUUAACACCGCAUGACACCAUUUGAUAGCAUUAUCGGAUGGUCAAAUAUUUAUAGGACGGGGAUGGGCAUGCGUGCCAUUAGCUGGUUGGUAGGGUAACGGCCUACCAAGGCGACGAUGGCUAGGGGAUCUGAGAGGAUGGCCCCCCACACUGGUACUGAGACACGGACCAGACUCCUACGGGAGGCAGCAGUAAGGAAUAUUGGUCAAUGGAGGCAACUCUGAACCAGCCAUGCCGCGUGCAGGAAGACAGCCCUAUGGGUCGUAAACUGCUUUUGUACGGGAACAAACCUUUCCUCGAGAGGAAAGCUGAGCGUACCGUAAGAAUAAGGAUCGGCUAACUCCGUGCCAGCAGCCGCGGUAAUACGGAGGAUCCGAGCGUUAUCCGGAUUUAUUGGGUUUAAAGGGAGCGUAGGCGGCCCGUUAAGUCAGGGGUGAAAGACGGUGGCUCAACCAUCGCAGUGCCUUUGAUACUGACGGGCUUGAAUGUAGUUGAGGUGGGCGGAAUGUGACAAGUAGCGGUGAAAUGCAUAGAUAUGUCACAGAACACCGAUUGCGAAGGCAGCUCACUAAGCUAUGAUUGACGCUGAGGCUCGAAAGCGUGGGGAUCAAACAGGAUUAGAUACCCUGGUAGUCCACGCCCUAAACGAUGAUAACUCGAUGUUGGCGAUAUACGGCCAGCGUCCAAGCGAAAGCGUUAAGUUAUCCACCUGGGGAGUACGCCCGCAAGGGUGAAACUCAA